UCUUACCUACGGGGCGCAGCAGUGGGGGAUAUUGGACAAUGGGGGGAACCCUGAUCCAGCGACGCCGCGUGAGUGAAGAAGUAUUUCGGUAUGUAAAGCUCUAUCAGCAGGGAAGAAAGGAAUGACGGUACCUGACUAAGAAGCCCCGGCUAACUACGUGCCAGCAGCCGCGGUAAUACGUAGGGGGCAAGCGUUAUCCGGAUUUACUGGGUGUAAAGGGAGCGUAGACGGCGAUGCAAGUCUGAAGUGAAAGGCGGGGGCCCAACGCCCGGACUGCUUUGGAAACUG
Molecule: ribosomal RNA, 288 nt
Filed under: uncultured bacterium
Lineage: Bacteria
Description: partial 16S ribosomal RNA
Rfam family: Bacterial small subunit ribosomal RNA
Source: RNAcentral